CAGCCGCCGCGGUAAUACCGGCGGCCCGAGUGGCGGUCACUCUUAUUGGGCUUAAAGCGUCCGUAGCCGGGUUGGGAAGUCCUCCGGGAAAUCUGGCCGCUUAACGGUCAGAAUGCCGGAGGAUACUCCCAGCCUAGGGAGCGGGAGAGGCCGAGGGUAUUCCCGGGGUAGGGGUGGAAUCCUAUAAUCCCGGGAGGACCACCUGUGGCGAAGGCGCUCGGCUGGAACGCGUCCGACGGUGAGGGACGAAGGCCAGGGGAGCAAACCGGAUUAGAUACCCGGGUAGUCCUGGCGGUAAACGAUGCGGACUUUGUGUCGGACAAGCUAUGAGCUUGUCCGGUGCCGGAGGGAAACCGUUAAGUCCGCCGCCUGGGGAGUACGGCCGCAAGGCUGAAACUUAAAGGAAUUGGCGGG
This 414-nucleotide ribosomal RNA is filed under the name uncultured microorganism. Its description in RNAcentral is "bacterial SSU rRNA". It matches the Rfam family "Archaeal small subunit ribosomal RNA", at positions 459 to 872 of the family's 1478-position model. The record is from RNAcentral.